Molecule: RNase P RNA, 384 nt
Filed under: Leyella stercorea
Lineage: Bacteria; Pseudomonadati; Bacteroidota; Bacteroidia; Bacteroidales; Prevotellaceae
Description: Prevotella stercorea RNase P RNA component class A
Rfam family: Bacterial RNase P class A
About the family: Ribonuclease P (RNase P) is a ubiquitous endoribonuclease, found in archaea, bacteria and eukarya as well as chloroplasts and mitochondria. Its best characterised activity is the generation of mature 5'-ends of tRNAs by cleaving the 5'-leader elements of precursor-tRNAs.
Source: RNAcentral
ACAGUGUCUCGGUUCUGUCGCUGCUGCGCAUAGGCGCAGGAGAGGAAAGUCCGGGCAGCACAGGGAACCCCACUUCCGAAAGUAGAAGCUGUCGGCGACGGCAGGUGUCGGUAGAAGAAAAUAACCGCCACGCCUCGUGUGUGGUAAGGGUGAGAAGGUGGUGUAAGAGACCACCAGCCGGUGGGCGAUUAUCGGGCUGUACCAUCUGGGGGCUGCAAGUUCAUGUAAACCAUCGUUUGAGGGCGUCCCGUCCGACCAUAGUGACGGUGGAGGGUAGAAUGCUGGAGACGCAGGGCGACCUGCGUAGUAGAUAAAUGACAGAAGGCUCGCAUCGCAGCAAUGCAGUGCGAGAAACAGAACCCGGCUUAUAGAGACACUGUUUCC